Felis catus (domestic cat) is the source of this 731-nucleotide long non-coding RNA. RefSeq lists it as uncharacterized. The record is from RefSeq and is a predicted model, not a curated record. The transcript has 3 exons. NCBI's taxonomy places the organism in Eukaryota, Metazoa, Chordata, Mammalia, Carnivora, Felidae.
GGCACCCCCCAAGUGUCUUGAAAUGUGCAGAGCCCGCUGGGUUGCCAAAGCCUCCUUCUAUGGACAACCCCUUUGGGGGUGAAGUAUGUGUUGCACCUGCUUUCUGGAAGAUUGCUGAUGGCCUCCCUGUCACCCAGACCCAGACAGGGUUGGAUCGAUGACGUCAGAGCCAUCCUCACAAAGGAUGCUUCCUGCCUCCUGCAUGCCCUCUGCUCCUGUCCUCCCUGCCCCCGGAAGACCCCUGCACCCUCACGACUGUGCUGUGCCCCCCAGCAAGUGGCCCCGCGCCCGGGCGCUGUGCCGACAGGGGCCUCUGCCCCAUAGGUACUGACUCCAGGCCUUUCUGGGAACGGCCUCCAGCCCUUAUUUCCACGGCAAGCCUCACUUUGGCCGUUCUCAUGAACCAGGGAAAGAAGUAACCCUCUCCAAUAGGAAAGCGUAAUAAGAUCUAUGGGAUUUAAUAAGAUCGUCCAAGCCUUGGCACCUACUGCAGUUUUCUGGUGACACCGCGUUCUUUGGGGAGGACUCUGACUGAUAGAACCUCUCUUAGGAACACAGUCACGCAAAGGUCUGGGGCAGAACUCCGGAAACGGGGAACCACACGAGGCCCUAAGGGUAUGAGCUCGCUGCGUGUGAGAAGCCAGAAGAAAGGAAAGCUGGUCAGACCAAAGCAAGAGAGAGAGAGACAGCGUGUGAGCAGGGGAGGAGCAGAGAGAGAGGGAGACACGGAA